UCAGUAGCGGCGAGUGAAGCGGCAAAAGCUCAAAUUUGAAAUCUGGCGUCUUUGGCGUCCGAGUUGUAAUUUGAAGAAGGUAUCUUUGGGCCCGGCUCUUGUCUAUGUUCCUUGGAACAGGACGUCACAGAGGGUGAGAAUCCCGUGCGAUGAGAUGACCCGGGUCUGUGUAAAGUUCCUUCGACGAGUCGAGUUGUUUGGGAAUGCAGCUCUAAGUGGGUGGUAAAUUCCAUCUAAAGCUAAAUAUUGGCGAGAGACCGAUAGCGAACAAGUACAGUGAUGGAAAGAUGAAAAGAACUUUGAAAAGAGAGUGAAAAAGUACGUGAAAUUGUUGAAAGGGAAGGGCUUGAGAUCAGACUUGGUAUUUUGCAUGUUGCUCUCUCGGGGGCGGCCGCUGCGGUUUACCGGGCCAGCAUCGGUUUGGAGCGGCAGGAUAAUGGCGGAGGAAUGUGGCACGGCUUCUGCUGUGUGUUAUAGCCUCUGACGAUACUGCCAGCCUAGACCGAGGACUGCGGUUUUUACCUAGGAUGUUGGCAUAAUGAUCUUAAGUCGCCCGUCUU
This 560-nucleotide ribosomal RNA is filed under the name Candida albicans. RNAcentral describes it as "eukaryotic LSU rRNA". It matches the Rfam family "Eukaryotic large subunit ribosomal RNA", at positions 80 to 655 of the family's 3401-position model. The record is from RNAcentral. Lineage: Eukaryota; Fungi; Ascomycota; Pichiomycetes; Serinales; Debaryomycetaceae.